This 2149-nucleotide long non-coding RNA is filed under the name Homo sapiens (human). RNAcentral describes it as "long non-coding RNA NONHSAT145394.2". The record is from RNAcentral. Lineage: Eukaryota; Metazoa; Chordata; Mammalia; Primates; Hominidae.
CCGGAACCCUGUGUGCUGGGGAGGAAUCCCGCAGUGGCCGGGGGGCUUGAGGCCGCUGCUUUGUCUCUUCGUCCAGAGCCUUAUGUAAGAGCUUUUCUCGGGAAACAGGAAGUCCUGCUUGCCAAUUUCAGCACAGGGAGUAGUGCAGGCCUUAUUCCAACACACCCGGCCCAGCCUUAACCCCAGAACUCAGCCAGUUUCUUGCUUCCGUGCCCCUGGUUCUCCUCCCCAUCGAGCCCACCCCUCCUUUCCCACCUUCAGUCACCCCUAGUGAACUGCCCCAGCGAUCUCUGCUGUGCUUGACCCCGAGGGUCUUCCACCCUCGCCCUGACCCUGGACACUGCCCAGCUUGGCCCCCCAUCCUGCUCCUGGCACAAUGCCCUCUAGCCAGCCAACCUUCCCUCCCCCAACCCUGGGGCCGCCCCAGGGUUCCUGCGCACUGCCUGUUCCUCCUGGGUGUCACUGGCAGCCCUGUCCUUCCUAGAGGGACUGGAACCUAAUUCUCCUGAGGCUGAGGGAGGGUGGAGGGUCUCAAGGCAACGCUGGCCCCACGACGGAGUGCCAGGAGCACUAACAGUACCCUUAGCUUGCUUUCCUCCUCCCUCCUUUUUAUUUUCAAGUUCCUUUUUAUUUCUCCUUGCGUAACAACCUUCUUCCCUUCUGCACCACUGCCCGUACCCUUACCCGCCCCGCCACCUCCUUGCUACCCCACUCUUGAAACCACAGCUGUUGGCAGGGUCCCCAGCUCAUGCCAGCCUCAUCUCCUUUCUUGCUAGCCCCCAAAGGGCCUCCAGGCAACAUGGGGGGCCCAGUCAGAGAGCCGGCACUCUCAGUUGCCCUCUGGUUGAGUUGGGGGGCAGCUCUGGGGGCCGUGGCUUGUGCCAUGGCUCUGCUGACCCAACAAACAGAGCUGCAGAGCCUCAGGAGAGAGGUGAGCCGGCUGCAGGGGACAGGAGGCCCCUCCCAGAAUGGGGAAGGGUAUCCCUGGCAGAGUCUCCCGGAGCAGAUGACUCCGAUGUGACAGAGGUGAUGUGGCAACCAGCUCUUAGGCGUGGGAGAGGCCUACAGGCCCAAGGAUAUGGUGUCCGAAUCCAGGAUGCUGGAGUUUAUCUGCUGUAUAGCCAGGUCCUGUUUCAAGACGUGACUUUCACCAUGGGUCAGGUGGUGUCUCGAGAAGGCCAAGGAAGGCAGGAGACUCUAUUCCGAUGUAUAAGAAGUAUGCCCUCCCACCCGGACCGGGCCUACAACAGCUGCUAUAGCGCAGGUGUCUUCCAUUUACACCAAGGGGAUAUUCUGAGUGUCAUAAUUCCCCGGGCAAGGGCGAAACUUAACCUCUCUCCACAUGGAACCUUCCUGGGGUUUGUGAAACUGUGAUUGUGUUAUAAAAAGUGGCUCCCAGCUUGGAAGACCAGGGUGGGUACAUACUGGAGACAGCCAAGAGCUGAGUAUAUAAAGGAGAGGGAAUGUGCAGGAACAGAGGCGUCUUCCUGGGUUUGGCUCCCCGUUCCUCACUUUUCCCUUUUCAUUCCCACCCCCUAGACUUUGAUUUUACGGAUAUCUUGCUUCUGUUCCCCAUGGAGCUCCGAAUUCUUGCGUGUGUGUAGAUGAGGGGCGGGGGACGGGCGCCAGGCAUUGUCCAGACCUGGUCGGGGCCCACUGGAAGCAUCCAGAACAGCACCACCAUCUAGCGGCCGCUCGAGGGAAGCACCCGCCGGUUGGCCGAAGUCCACGAAGCCGCCCUCUGCUAGGGAAAACCCCUGGUUCUCCAUGCCACACCUCUCUCCAGGUGCCCUCUGCCUCUUCACCCCACAAGAAGCCUUAUCCUACGUCCUUCUCUCCAUCUAUCGGACCCCAGUUUCCAUCACUAUCUCCAGAGAUGUAGCUAUUAUGCGCCCGUCUACAGGGGGUGCCCGACGAUGACGGUGCCUUCGCAGUCAAAUUACUCUUCGGGUCCCAAGGUUUGGCUUUCACGCGCUCCAUUGCCCCGGCGUGGCAGGCCAUUCCAAGCCCUUCCGGGCUGGAACUGGUGUCGGAGGAGCCUCGGGUGUAUCGUACGCCCUGGUGUUGGUGUUGCCUCACUCCUCUGAGCUCUUCUUUCUGAUCAAGCCCUGCUUAAAGUUAAAUAAAAUAGAAUGAAUGAUACCCCGGC